GACUCUCGGCAACGGAUAUCUCGGCUCUUGCAUCGAUGAAGAACGUAGCGAAAUGCGAUACUUGGUGUGAAUUGCAGAAUCCCGUGAACCAUCGAGUCUUUGAACGCAAGUUGCGCCUGAAGCCAUUAGGUUGAGGGCACGCCUGCCUGGGUGUCACAC
This 159-nucleotide ribosomal RNA is filed under the name Rhynchosia hauthalii. RNAcentral's name for it is "5.8S ribosomal RNA". It matches the Rfam family "5.8S ribosomal RNA". Rfam says of the family: 5.8S ribosomal RNA (5.8S rRNA) is a component of the large subunit of the eukaryotic ribosome. It is transcribed by RNA polymerase I as part of the 45S precursor that also contains 18S and 28S rRNA. Lineage: Eukaryota; Viridiplantae; Streptophyta; Magnoliopsida; Fabales; Fabaceae. The record is from RNAcentral.